This 468-nucleotide ribosomal RNA is filed under the name uncultured bacterium. RNAcentral's name for it is "partial 16S ribosomal RNA". It matches the Rfam family "Bacterial small subunit ribosomal RNA", at positions 28 to 507 of the family's 1533-position model. The record is from RNAcentral.
GACGAACGCUGGCGGCGUGCUUAACACAUGCAAGUCGAACGGAAAGGCCCUGCUUUUGUUGGGUGCUCGAUUGGCGAACGGGUGAGUAACACGUGAGUAACCUCCCCUUGACUUUGGGAUAACUUCAGGAAACUGCGGCUAAUACCGCAUAGGAGCUCCUGCUGCAUGGUGGUGGUUGGAAAGUUUCGGCGGUUGGGUAUGGACUCGCAGCUUAUGAGCUUGUUGGUCGGGUAGUGGCUUACCAAGGCUUUGACGGGUAGCCGGCCUGAGAGGGUUACCGGCGACAUUAGGACUGCGAUACGGCGCAGACUGCUACGGGAGGCAGCAGGCGGGAAUAUUGCACAAUGGGCGGGAGCCUGAUGCAGCAACGCUGCGUGCGUGAUGACGGGCUACGGGUUGUAAACCGCUUUCGACGGUGACGAAGAGGGAGUGACGGUAAUGGGUAAAGAAGCACCGGCUAACUACGUG